AUGUGAAUCAUCAAUCUUUGAACGCACAUUGCGCGGUAUGGCACUCCGUACCGCACGGGUGGAAGAGCGUGUUCCCUCUGGGAUCGCAGCGCUUUCCUGAAAUGCAUUGACUACUUCAAUACACACAUUUCACCUCUUUCACCCGAGAUUACCCGCUGAACUUAAGCAUAUCAAUAAGCGGAGGAAAAGAAACCAACAGGGAUUGCCUCAGUAACGGCGAGUGAAGCGGCAAAAGCUCAAAUUUGAAACCCUCGGGAUUGUAAUUUGAAGACCUGGCAUUGGAGAAAGCUACCCCAAGUUGCUUGGAAUAGUACGUCAUAGAGGGUGACAACCCCGUCUGGCUAACCGUUCUCCAUGUAUUGCCUUGUCAAAGAGUCGAGUUGUUUGGGAAUGCAGCUCAAAGUGGGUGGUAAACUCCAUCUAAAGCUAAAUACCGGUGAGAGACCGAUAGCGAACAAGUACUGUGAAGGAAAGGUGAAAAGAACUUUGAAAAGAGAGUGAAAUAGUAUGUGAAAUUGUUGAUAGGGAAGGAAAUGAGUGGAGAGUGGAGGAGGUUUCAGCCGUCUUUCGAGGCGGUGUACUGCCGAGUCCGAGUCAUUGUCAGCGAGACGGGGUAUACAAACGAGUGGCACUUGUGCUUCCCACCUAUACCCGCCCACUGCCGACAACGACAUAAUCCAGCCAUUUCACCCGUCUUGAAAACA
RNAcentral lists this ribosomal RNA (704 nucleotides) under Yarrowia yakushimensis. RNAcentral describes it as "LSU rRNA". The stretch from base 129 to 704 matches the Rfam family "Eukaryotic large subunit ribosomal RNA", at positions 1 to 661 of the family's 3401-position model. Lineage: Eukaryota; Fungi; Ascomycota; Dipodascomycetes; Dipodascales. The record is from RNAcentral.